This is a long non-coding RNA of Lolium rigidum, 499 nucleotides long. RefSeq lists it as uncharacterized. Lineage: Eukaryota; Viridiplantae; Streptophyta; Magnoliopsida; Poales; Poaceae. The transcript has 3 exons. The record is from RefSeq and is a predicted model, not a curated record.
GCCGCCACCUUCUCCAUCGCAGCCCCCCUCCCCUCCGUCAUGGGGAUCGCCGGGAGACUCAUGGGCACGUCCCCUCUGUCGAAGGGAUCAGCCGGAGUGUUGCUGGGAUCGCCGGGAGAAUCCAGCCCUACCCCCUACCUGACGCGGACGCGUCUCUGACUCCUCGUCCACGUCGUCUCCUUCGAUCGUCGUUGUGUAGGACAACAAGUUGCAAGAAGAAGCUCUAUGAUGGGUGCAUUUGAAGUUUGAUCGUCGAGAGAGUCCAGACUCCAGAGCAGGCUCACAACACUGGAUAUCUUUGGUCUGCGCGUAGACUAUGUAUGUCUCCAGGAGAAGUUUGGGUGUAAGAGACAGAAGAUUCAGAUACAGGAGAUUGGUGCUGACUGCUAGGAUAUCUUUCAACAUGGAUGGCUUGCGUUCUACCUGAAACACCUGCAUGAUCUGUAAUAACCAGAUUUCCACACGUCCAUUAAUUGAUAAUCAUGAACCUUCUGUUGUU